This 460-nucleotide ribosomal RNA is filed under the name uncultured bacterium. Its description in RNAcentral is "partial 16S ribosomal RNA". It matches the Rfam family "Bacterial small subunit ribosomal RNA", at positions 338 to 795 of the family's 1533-position model. The record is from RNAcentral.
CCUACGGGUGGCAGCAGUGAGGAAUAUUGGUCAAUGGGCGCGAGCCUGAACCAGCCAAGUCGCGUGAGGGAUGACGGCCCUACGGGUUGUAAACUUCUUUUAUAAGGGAAUAAAGUGAGGGACGUGUCCCGUUUUGAAUGUACUUUAUGAAUAAGGAUCGGCUAACUCCGUGCCAGCAGCCGCGGUAAUACGGAGGAUCCGAGCGUUAUCCGGAUUUAUUGGGUUUAAAGGGAGCGUAGACGGGUUGUUAAGUCAGUUGUGAAAGUUUGCGGCUCAACCGUAAAAUUGCAAUUGAUACUGGCAGUCUUGAGUACGGUUGAGGUAGGCGGAAUGCGUGGUGUAGCGGUGAAAUGCAUAGAUAUCACGCAGAACUCCGAUUGCGAAGGCAGCGUACUGGACCGCAACUGACGCUGAUGCACGAAAGUGUGGGUAUCGAACAGGAUUAGAUACCCGAGUAGUC